AUGGAAAGGGAGAAGAUGGAGAGGGGCAAGUCUGAGCUGAGGAUGGCUAUCGAGGACCUCUCCUUGCCCAGCUCAGGAGAUGGUGAAGAUCAGGAGCAGCAGGGAAAAAUUAGGAGGUCAUCCACCAUGGAUCUCCUCUGUGUCUCCAACCAGCUUCUACGUGUCCUUGAUGCGAUUGGGCCAACGCUUCUAGUCCUCAGGCAAGACAUUCAGCAAAAUGUUCAGAGAUUACAGGAUCUCCAUGCAAGAGACACCUCGAAAUACGCGGGCUUGAUGGAGAUCGUGAUGGAAGAAAUGGAGGAAGGGACCUCAAAGAAGACCAACAGUUGUACAAGGGCAAUUAUCUGGCUGGCUAGGUCGGUGAAUUUCUCGAUAUGUUUGCUGGAGAGAUUAGUGAAGAACCCAGAGUCAAGCCUGCAAGAGAUGGUGGAAGAAACAUACGAGAGCACCCUGAAGCCAUUCCAUGGAUGGAUCUCAUCAGCUGCUUACAGGGUAGCAUUGCGACUCAUUCCAGAGAGAGACAUCUUCAUUGAGUUGCUGAUGGGGAACUGCCAGGAUACCGGGGAUUUUGGGGAAGAUGUCAUGAUCUUGGUCUCCAUUGUACAGCCUCUGCUAGAGGAGAUCAAUGUCAUCUACAGAUGUCUGCGUUGUAUUUGUUGUUGUACCUGUAGUUUAAUAGCCGGGUGGAUGUAUUGUGUCAGAGGACUUAAAAUAACUGAAGCACAAUGCAUCUCUUGCUUUUCCUUUGGACGUUGA
Molecule: ribosomal RNA, 756 nt
Filed under: Triticum aestivum (bread wheat)
Lineage: Eukaryota; Viridiplantae; Streptophyta; Magnoliopsida; Poales; Poaceae
Description: partial small subunit ribosomal RNA
Source: RNAcentral